GGAGAAUCUUAGAUUUUCUUAAUGUUCUGUAUAGAAGGCAGCAAUGCAGCGACAGGACGUCGCUGCAAGCAAAAAACUAAGACAUGGAUGUCGGUUUUUUUGCGGUUGCGGGAAGAAAAAAUUAUUUGGCAGAACAUUUAGAAAAUGUUAGAUUCGGA
RNAcentral lists this non-coding RNA (158 nucleotides) under bovine gut metagenome. The record is from RNAcentral.